Molecule: long non-coding RNA, 901 nt
Organism: Gossypium raimondii (Peruvian cotton)
Lineage: Eukaryota; Viridiplantae; Streptophyta; Magnoliopsida; Malvales; Malvaceae
Exons: 5
Source: RefSeq, a predicted model, not a curated record
GAGUUAGAUCCAGUCGAGCAUGUCAAAGUUCGACGAAACAGUUUUGGUCAGCCUGUUGGAUCAGAAGCUCGACUUUUAGCAGGAUACUUGGGCAUUUUAGCACGAAAUGCGAAUAUGUUGCCUAUCAACUACGAGUCAUGGCAUAAAAUGCCCGAUAGUAACAAAAACCAAGCCCUCGAUAAUAUUAAGGCGAGGUUUGCUUUAGAGGUCUAGGAUACUUAUGUAAAGAAGGCAUUGGGAAAAAGAUGGAGAGACCAUAAAAGUACUUUAAAGAAAGAUUAUUAUAAGACAAAAAAAACCCUCAAAGAGAAAUUGCAAAAUGUCCCGCCGGGUAUGCUGAGGUACCAAUGAGAAGAAGCGGUUAGAUUUUGGCAAUCGAAGAAAGGCGAGGAUCGUGAACGAGUUGGAAAAAGCAGCAGGCAGAAACAGAAAUUCACUCACACAACCGGGUCGAAAAGUUUUGCAUGUGUAGCUGAGGCGGAGGAACUGUCAUCCGGUCAAAAAGUUGGACGCCUUCAACUUUUUGAAAUUACACAUAGGAAGAAAGAUGGAUCUCCUAUGACUCCUGAAGCUGCAGAAAUUAUGGAAAAACUAAAGGAUAAAAAGGCGGAGUACGAAGCGCUUGCUUCCAGUGAAAGUUCUGUUCAUCUUGAAGACAUUGAUAACCAAAUUAUUGCUGAAGUUUUGGGUCCUGAAAGGUAUGGUCGGGUUAGAUUUCAAGGAUCUUUUAUUAACCCAACCCAAUAUUUUGGAUCCAGCUCGCGGCAAUACAUGCCUUCGGCGAGUCAGUCUCAAGCUGAAGUUCAGAGGUUAAAAGACAAGAUAGCUCAGAUGCAAGCGACCACAAUUGAGGUUCAAAAGAAAUAUGAAGAACUCUAGUUACAACUUAAAGUAGAGGCGG